Gallus gallus (chicken) is the source of this 678-nucleotide long non-coding RNA. RefSeq lists it as uncharacterized. The record is from RefSeq and is a predicted model, not a curated record. The transcript has 3 exons. Lineage: Eukaryota; Metazoa; Chordata; Aves; Galliformes; Phasianidae.
UUUCCACCAACUGAUCCACACCACUGUCACCUGGGAAGAUUGGUUGUCCUAGUAACAGUUCAGCCAAUACACAGCCCGCUGACCACACAUCUAGAAGGGGAAAAAAGCAGAAGGCAGGAAAGGUGUAAGUAAAAGUCUCCCUAAAUGUCUUCCCACUCCACCAGCCAAUUUCUGACAAGUCUUAAAGGUUGAAGUAUCAAGGCCAUUUCAGUUUUGGGAAAACAGAGAGGACAGCAAGCAGCAGCACUGCUGCUGCAGAAGAAGUUCAGCCCUGCAGGACUUGCUUGGCCCGGGAGCACACUGCAGCUGCAGACAAGCCAGACGAUGCGCAAGCAGCUGACAGCAGCAUGCAGGAAGAAGGAGCAUCAUUUCACUCUCUUCCAAGUUUGGACCUGGGCAACGUUCCCACUUCAAGGAAAUGAAAAAAUCUUCAAACUAUUCUCAUUUAAAGCCAGAGAUCUGCAGCCAACUUUAGCAGCUUGAAGUAGGGAUGGCAACAAAAUAAUUUUCCUUAGGUGUUUAUAGAACUCUGCUGAGUAACAUAAAUUCAAGAAGAAACUGAGAAAUUUUGACUCUGGCUCUCACCAUCACAGCAGUGUUCACUGUGCUAUACAUCACCUUCCCUAACUCAUUAUUUAGAGGGCAUGAGGAAAUAAAAAUAUUUGCCUGCUCUCAUCA